CAGCCGCCGCGGGAAUACGGAGGAUCCAAGCGUUAUCCGGAUUUAUUGGGUUUAAAGGGUGCGUAGGUGGCUUAUUAAGUCAGGGGUGAAAGACGGUAGCUUAACUAUCGCAGUGCCUUUGAUACUGAUGAGCUUGAAUGAACUAGAGGUAGGCGGAAUGUGACAAGUAGCGGUGAAAUGCAUAGAUAUGUCACAGAACACCAAUUGCGAAGGCAGCUUACUAUGGUUUUAUUGACACUGAGGCACGAAAGCGUGGGGAUCAAACAGGAUUAGAUACCCCAGUAGUCCCUGUCUCUUAUAC
This 301-nucleotide ribosomal RNA is filed under the name uncultured bacterium. RNAcentral's name for it is "partial 16S ribosomal RNA". It matches the Rfam family "Bacterial small subunit ribosomal RNA", at positions 509 to 807 of the family's 1533-position model. The record is from RNAcentral.